AUUGAACGCUGGCGGCAGGCCUAACACAUGCAAGUCGAGCGGAUGAAGGGAGCUUGCUCCUGGAUUCAGCGGCGGACGGGUGAGUAAUGCCUAGGAAUCUGCCUGGUCGUGGGGGAUAACGUCCGUAAACGGGCGCUAAUACCGCAUACGUCCUGAGGGAGAAAGUGGGGGAUCUUCGGACCUCACGCUAUCAGAUGAGCCUAGGUCGGAUUAGCUAGUUGGUGGGGUAAAGGCCUACCAAGGCGACGAUCCGUAACUGGUCUGAGAGGAUGAUCAGUCACACUGGAACUGAGACACGGUCCAGACUCCUACGGGAGGCAGCAGUGGGGAAUAUUGGACAAUGGGCGAAAGCCUGAUGCAGCCACGCCGCGUGUGUGAAGAAGGUCUUCGGAUUGUAAAGCACUUUAAGUUGGGAGGAAGGGCAGUAAGUUAAUACCUUGCUGUUUUGACGUUACCAACAGAAUAAGCACCGGCUAACUUCGUG
This 484-nucleotide ribosomal RNA is filed under the name uncultured bacterium. Its description in RNAcentral is "partial 16S ribosomal RNA". It matches the Rfam family "Bacterial small subunit ribosomal RNA", at positions 30 to 507 of the family's 1533-position model. The record is from RNAcentral.